CGGCGAAUUGUAGUUUGGAGAAGUGUCUUCAACGCGUCGUUUCCGGUCCAAGUUGCUUGGAACGGCACGUCACGGAGGGUGAGAAUCCCGUUCGUGAUCGGAAAUGGCGCGCCACGAAGCACUUUCGAAGAGUCGGGUUGUUUGGGAUUGCAGCCCAAAGCGGGUGGUAAACUCCAUCUAAAGCUAAAUACGAGCACGAGACCGAUAGCGAACAAGUACCGUGAGGGAAAGAUGAAAAGCACUUUGAAAAGAGAGUUAAAGAGUACGUGAAACCGUUGAAGGGGAAACGAAUGCGACCAGCAAAGCACUCGUUGCAGAUUCAGUCGCGUCUCGRCGUCGCGGUCGGCUGGCGGAUCCGUAUGGACCCGUCGUCGGCUCGUCGACGUCGAGGCGCGCCGCAAUUCUGUCUCGUGCGAGCCAACGUCGGUUCGUCGACGACGUUCGGCUGUCGCGUCAGGUGGCUCGUGGCUUCGGUCGGGAGCGUUAUAGACGCGUCAGCAAGGGCGUCGAGACGGACCGAGGAGACGAAAUGUCGAUGGCGAACCGCGCUCUUCUGGGCUAGAGUCGUUCGACGCGCGUCGUGCGUCGCGUUUUGGACUGCGUGCAGUGCUCGAUGCGAUCGUGCGGGCGCGUCGGGACGUCUUCAUAAGCGGUUGUCGGUCGUUGGCGGUGAAAUGGUCUCAUCCGACCCGUCUUGAAACACGGACCAAGGAGUCUAACAUGUGUGCGAGUCGUGGGGUGACGAAACCCUGUGGCGCAAUGAAAGUGAGUUUGGAGACGAGAAGCGGCGUCUCGGCGUCGUUGCAUCGUCGGCCGACCUGUCCUGAUUUCAGAAAGGUUUGAGUAGGAGCACGCCUGUUGGGACC
This 866-nucleotide ribosomal RNA is filed under the name Oscarella sp. 3 JV-2020. RNAcentral describes it as "partial large subunit ribosomal RNA". The record is from RNAcentral. Lineage: Eukaryota; Metazoa; Porifera; Homoscleromorpha; Homosclerophorida; Oscarellidae.